GGGUUGUGAGGUUAAGCGACUAAGCGUACACGGUGGAUGCCCUGGCAGUCAGAGGCGAUGAAGGACGUGCUAAUCUGCGAAAAGCGUCGGUAAGGUGAUAUGAACCGUUACAGCCGGCGAUGUCCGAAUGGGGAAACCCAGUGCAAUUCGUUGCACUAUCGUUAACUGAAUACAUAGGUUAACGAGGCGAACCGGGGGAACUGAAACAUCUAAGUACCCCGAGGAAAAGAAAUCAACCGAGAUUCCCCCAGUAGCGGCGAGCGAACGGGGAGCAGCCCAGAGUCUGAAUCAGCUUGUGUGUUAGUGGAACGGUCUGGAAAGUCCGACGGUACAGGGUGAUAGUCCCGUACACCAAAAUGCACAGGUUGUGAACUCGAAGAGUAGGGCGGGACACGUGGUAUCCUG
This 405-nucleotide ribosomal RNA is filed under the name Klebsiella pneumoniae subsp. pneumoniae. Its description in RNAcentral is "bacterial LSU rRNA". It matches the Rfam family "Bacterial large subunit ribosomal RNA", at positions 1 to 436 of the family's 2925-position model. Lineage: Bacteria; Pseudomonadati; Pseudomonadota; Gammaproteobacteria; Enterobacterales; Enterobacteriaceae. The record is from RNAcentral.